Molecule: non-coding RNA, 158 nt
Filed under: Pseudomonas rhizosphaerae
Lineage: Bacteria; Pseudomonadati; Pseudomonadota; Gammaproteobacteria; Pseudomonadales; Pseudomonadaceae
Description: FMN sequence
Rfam family: FMN riboswitch aptamer (RFN element)
About the family: The RFN element is a highly conserved domain that is found frequently in the 5'-untranslated regions of prokaryotic mRNAs that encode for flavin mononucleotide (FMN) biosynthesis and transport proteins. This element is a metabolite-dependent riboswitch that directly binds FMN in the absence of proteins.
Source: Rfam by way of RNAcentral
GAACGUUCUCAGGGCGGGGUGCAACUCCCCACCGGCGGUGAUGGCGCGCAAUGCGUCGAGCCCGCGAGCGCUUGCAAGUCGGCAACGGCCUGCAAGGUCAGCAGACCCGGUGUGAUCCCGGGGCCGACGGUCAUAGUCCGGAUGAAGAGAGAACGGGA